This 1893-nucleotide ribosomal RNA is filed under the name Triticum aestivum (bread wheat). Its description in RNAcentral is "partial small subunit ribosomal RNA". Lineage: Eukaryota; Viridiplantae; Streptophyta; Magnoliopsida; Poales; Poaceae. The record is from RNAcentral.
AUGGCCGGGAUGGGUGGGCAACAGAGGCAGAUGAUGGAGGAUGCGGCGGAGGACAAGUUCCCGGAGAGGUUGCGUGUGCUCGCGGUGGACGACGACCGCGUCUGCCUCAAGGUACUAGAGGCCCUCUUGCGCCGCUGCAAAUACAGCCCAACGACAGUGAUGGAUGCCAAGACGGCGCUGAAGAUGCUCAGAUCGGGGAAGGAGGAAUUCGACAUGGUCAUCACCGACGUGCGCAUGCUGGACAUGGACGGCUUCAAGCUCCUCGAGCUCAUUGGCCUCGAGAUGGAUCUGCCCGUCAUCAUGCUAUCAGUGGAUUGCGACAAGAAGGCUGUGAUGAAGGGGAUAAACCAUGGGGCGUGUGACUAUUUGAUGAAGCCAGUGCAAACCAACGAGCUCAAAAACAUAUGGCAGCAUGUUGAGAGUAGGAGAAGAUCCCAAUCAAUAAGCCACAUGAGUAGGGAUAAUGAUGACGACCAGAGAGUACAUACUGGGACUCUUGCCAAGAGUAAGGACUCAAAGAGUAAGAGCAAUGAUGAAGAUGAUUCUAAUGAGAACAAAGAGAGCACUCAUGCAUCCACUACCCAGAAGAAGAUGAGGGUGGCAUGGACAACUGAGCUUCAUAACAAGUUUCUAGAAGCUAUCUACCAGAUCGGCCUUGAAAAGGCUGCUCCAAACAAGAUAUUGGAGCUGAUGAAUGUGGAUUACCUCACUAGACAUAAUAUUGCGAGUCAUCUACAGAAGUAUAGAUUGUACUUGAAUAGAGUCAAAUCAAAUCCACUCGGUGAUGCAAGGGAAAGACAAAACUCAUCCAUGGGGAAUCAGAGGAAUUUUAUGCAUAACCAUGAGCAUGGAAGAUGGCAUGUGUCCUCAUGUGACAACCCCUCCUGGAGUCCAAAUUAUUUCGGUGCAACUAGUCAAUUAGGCCAGCCGACGGACAACCAGAGCAACUUGUGCAUGGGGUCGUUAAUCCAUGGUGGAAGAAUGUCGAGGUAUUUGGUUCCAAACACACCGGAUGCGAGAAGAUUUGCCGAUCCCGAAGACCCUCCCAUUAGCCUAUACAAUGGCAUACUCGAUGACAUAAUGUUAGAUGAAUUUUCCUCGUAUAGCUCUGGUACUUCCUAUGUUGACUCCAUGCGUGGCAAGUUGAUGGAGACAAGUAAAGGAAAAACCCCAUCAAAUCUUCGAAGUCACUUAACAAACACAUCAGGUGGUGGCGGGAGCUCGGCACCCACAAAUGAGUACCAGGUAAACUUGACCGGUAUUCUUCAUAGGGGUGGAACAUCUCAUGUCCCGCCACGUGUGAAUAUACCAACGAUCAACCAAUUGACAAGCUAUGAAACACCAUCUAGCGGAAUGUUGAUGCAAAAUCAAUUGCCAGCAUUCAUUGGCAACACCAUAUCAGUGGGAGGUUUCAAUGAACAAAUAGUUCCAUUCAACAUACCUACUAACCCAAGCUCUAUAGGGAUAUUGAAUGCACACAACACUACUCCAGUGGCGCCAUCUCAGAUGGUUGGUAGCAUCACUACAUUACGGUCAGGUUUCAAUGAGAAAAUAUCGCCAUUCAACAUAGCAAACAAUACAAGCUCGGUAGGGACGAUGUUGAAUGGAAAUUCUGCACUUGGUGUUGGUAGCACUUCAAAAUCCGAGAUUAAUAUGGUUAAUUGUGGAAGAACUAUUUCCACACUUUCCAACCUUCAGACAGAUGGUUUCGUCGAAUUAACUCCAAUGCCUGAUGGCGGGGAUGUAGUUGGCAUUCUUCAUGUGCAAGAAAGUAUGGUUAAUCAGCAAGAGCCUAAUGAUUUACUUAAUGACAUUAAUGACUUGUCAUCGGAUGAUAUUGCCAACCUUCUAAAUGACGAUUCCAUUGGAGAGGAUGCUAUCAUGGAUGGAUAG